UGCGUAGGCGGCGGGGUAAGUCGGAUGUGAAAUCCCGGGGCUCAACCCCGGAACUGCAUUCGAUACUGCCCUGCUCGAGUACUGGAGAGGAGACUGGAAUUUACGGUGUAGCAGUGAAAUGCGUAGAUAUCGUAAGGAAGACCAGUGGCGAAGGCGAGUCUCUGGACAGUUACUGACGCUGAGGCACGAAGGCCAGGGAGCAAACG
RNAcentral lists this ribosomal RNA (206 nucleotides) under uncultured bacterium. RNAcentral describes it as "partial 16S ribosomal RNA". It matches the Rfam family "Bacterial small subunit ribosomal RNA", at positions 568 to 774 of the family's 1533-position model. The record is from RNAcentral.